RNAcentral lists this ribosomal RNA (644 nucleotides) under uncultured bacterium. RNAcentral describes it as "bacterial SSU rRNA". It matches the Rfam family "Bacterial small subunit ribosomal RNA", at positions 202 to 842 of the family's 1533-position model. The record is from RNAcentral.
UAAAGGAAGCGAUUCCGGCUACGGAUGGUCACGCGUCGCAUUAGCUUGUUGGCGGGGUAACGGCCCACCAAGGCGACGAUGCGUAGGGGUUCUGAGAGGAAGGUCCCCCACACUGGUACUGAGACACGGACCAGACUCCUACGGGAGGCAGCAGUGAGGAAUAUUGGUCAAUGGCCGCAGGGCUGAACCAGCCAAGUCGCGUGAGGGAUGACGGUCCUAUGGAUUGUAAACCUCUUUUGUCAGGGAGCAAAGGGCGCCACGUGUGGCGUUUUGCGAGUACCUGAAGAAAAAGCAUCGGCUAACUCCGUGCCAGCAGCCGCGGUAAUACGGAGGAUGCGAGCGUUAUCCGGAUUUAUUGGGUUUAAAGGGUGCGCAGGCGGAAUGUCAAGUCAGCGGUAAAAUUUCGGGGCUCAACCCCGUCGUGCCGUUGAAACUGGCGUUCUUGAGUGAGCGAGAAGUAUGCGGAAUGCGUGGUGUAGCGGUGAAAUGCAUAGAUAUCACGCAGAACUCCGAUUGCGAAGGCAGCAUACCGGCGCUCAACUGACGCUCAUGCACGAAAGCGUGGGUAUCGAACAGGAUUAGAUACCCUGGUAGUCCACGCAGUAAACGAUGAAUACUAACUGUCCGGGCAGAAUGAUGCCUGG